RNAcentral lists this unclassified non-coding RNA (252 nucleotides) under uncultured fungus. Its description in RNAcentral is "sequence contains ITS1, 5.8S rRNA gene". The stretch from base 204 to 252 matches the Rfam family "5.8S ribosomal RNA", at positions 1 to 49 of the family's 154-position model. The record is from RNAcentral. Lineage: Eukaryota; Fungi.
UUUCCGUAGGUGAACCUGCGGAAGGAUCAUUAUCGAGUUCGGGUCCUCUGGGCCCAACCUCCAACCCCAUGUCUACCACUCUUGUUGCUUUGGCGGGUCGUGGCUUCACGGCCCCGCCGGCUUCGGCUGGCGAGCACCCGUCAGAGACCAUUUUUAAAAACUCUUUAAACAUGCAAGUCUGAAUUUACAAAAAAAUAGCUAAAAACUUUCAACAACGGAUCUCUUGGUUCUGGCAUCGAUGAAGAACGCAGC